RNAcentral lists this non-coding RNA (21 nucleotides) under Caenorhabditis elegans. The record is from RNAcentral. Lineage: Eukaryota; Metazoa; Nematoda; Chromadorea; Rhabditida; Rhabditidae.
UGGGGGUAUCCAAUAUUUUCA